This 320-nucleotide ribosomal RNA is filed under the name Vibrio parahaemolyticus. RNAcentral's name for it is "bacterial SSU rRNA". It matches the Rfam family "Bacterial small subunit ribosomal RNA", at positions 108 to 431 of the family's 1533-position model. The record is from RNAcentral. Lineage: Bacteria; Pseudomonadati; Pseudomonadota; Gammaproteobacteria; Vibrionales; Vibrionaceae.
GAGUAAUGCCUAGGAAAUUGCCCUGAUGUGGGGGAUAACCAUUGGAAACGAUGGCUAAUACCGCAUGAUGCCUACGGGCCAAAGAGGGGGACCUUCGGGCCUCUCGCGUCAGGAUAUGCCUAGGUGGGAUUAGCUAGUUGGUGAGGUAAGGGCUCACCAAGGCGACGAUCCCUAGCUGGUCUGAGAGGAUGAUCAGCCACACUGGAACUGAGACACGGUCCAGACUCCUACGGGAGGCAGCAGUGGGGAAUAUUGCACAAUGGGCGCAAGCCUGAUGCAGCCAUGCCGCGUGUGUGAAGAAGGCCUUCGGGUUGUAAAGC